ACCAACCUAGCCUAGCGAACAACCACCAUCGCUCUCUCAUUUUCUCCUCUUCCUCCCGCGAACACUCGCCGCCGCCACCAACGCCAGGCGAUUCCGACUACUUCCGGCGGCCGUCGCUGGAACUGCACACCCACGAGCUCUCACGAUGGUUCUUCCUUCCCUCCGACCAGAUCUGCUCCUCGUGGCGGCAAGCGCUCGCGCGCGACCCCUCCCCGUGGCUAGGGUUUCGGCUGCCUCCAACUCCGGUGCGCAACCACCCUCCUCCAUGGACGAGGAUGACCACCAGGGCACGCACGUGGUCGAGUUUGCCGUCGCCUACUCCGGUGCGGUGCUGGACCAAGGACCUCCGCCUCAACAGAUCCUAGCUUGGAUUGGUGGUCUCUAACUUUGCAACAUAUGUUAUUGUGCAUAUCGGUGAAGUCAGAUUCUCCUUGCACAAGUGGGAAGUCCGAUCAUUUGCUGCUCAAAAUCCGACAAAUCGGGGGAGGAAUGCGCGAGAAGCAAGUCUAUCAUCAAUGGCAAGCUCAACAAGAUGAACCAUACAGGCGAGGAACCUCCCAGGCGCAGCAACUCCUCCGUCCAAGUUGAGCGCUGGGCGUCGUCCACCCUGUUGGCCACCAGGACGUACGAGGCGACGAUUGGCAGUCUCGGUGGACCGGACGCCAACAUGCCGAUGAGGCUGAGAGCCACAAACAGGGUUGAUUGACGCGGACUACCGCGGCCCGGUGGGCAGUGUGCUCUUCAACGACUCGGAGGUGGACUUGGCUGUGAAGACCGGCGACCGCGUCGCACAGAUGAUCAUCCAGGUAAUCUCAACGCCGGAGGUCGCCGAGGAGGAGGACCUCGACGCCACAGUUCGGGGGGAGGUCCACCUGCGUCUAAACUCCGAGUCUUGGUAGAUACAUCUAGAGAAGUGGUCUGUUUAGGUUGAUGGAAAGCUAGGGAAAGUACCCACCUUUCAAUGAUAGUUGUGUGCGUAUGAUAUGGGAUGUCGUGAUUUCUUCCUGUUCAGAUGUUCACUAUUGUAUCCAUGAAUGCUUCAAGUGUUAAAGAUGGUUCUAUGACCUGAGCUUAUUUUUCA
Long non-coding RNA from Triticum urartu, 1081 nucleotides. RefSeq lists it as uncharacterized. Lineage: Eukaryota; Viridiplantae; Streptophyta; Magnoliopsida; Poales; Poaceae. The record is from RefSeq and is a predicted model, not a curated record.